This 900-nucleotide ribosomal RNA is filed under the name Epichloe uncinata. RNAcentral's name for it is "LSU rRNA". It matches the Rfam family "Eukaryotic large subunit ribosomal RNA", at positions 38 to 968 of the family's 3401-position model. The record is from RNAcentral. Lineage: Eukaryota; Fungi; Ascomycota; Sordariomycetes; Hypocreales; Clavicipitaceae.
GCAUAUCAAUAAGCGGAGGAAAAGAAACCAACAGGGAUUGCCCCAGUAACGGCGAGUGAAGCGGCAACAGCUCAAAUUUGAAAUCUGGCCCCCAGGGCCCGAGUUGUAAUUUGCAGAGGAUGCUUUUGGCGAGGCGCCUUCCGAGUUCCCUGGAACGGGACGCCACAGAGGGUGAGAGCCCCGUCUGGUUGGAUGCCGAGCCUCUGUAAAGCUCCUUCGACGAGUCGAGUAGUUUGGGAAUGCUGCUCUAAAUGGGAGGUAUAUGUCUUCUAAAGCUAAAUAUUGGCCAGAGACCGAUAGCGCACAAGUAGAGUGAUCGAAAGAUGAAAAGCACUUUGAAAAGAGGGUUAAAUAGUACGUGAAAUUGUUGAAAGGGAAGCGCUCAUGACCAGACUUGGGCCCGGUGAAUCAUCCAGCGUUCUCGCUGGUGCACUUCGCCGGGCCCAGGCCAGCAUCAGUUCGCCCCGGGGGACAAAGGCUCUGGGAAUGUGGCUCCUCCGGGAGUGUUAUAGCCCUCUGCGCAAUGCCCUGGGGCGGACUGAGGUCCGCGCAUCUGCAAGGAUGCUGGCGUAAUGGUCAUCAGCGACCCGUCUUGAAACACGGACCAAGGAGUCGUCCUCGUAUGCGAGUGUUCGGGUGUGAAACCCCUACGCGUAAUGAAAGUGAACGCAGGUGAGAGCUUCGGCGCAUCAUCGACCGAUCCUGAUGUUCUCGGAUGGAUUUGAGUAGGAGCAUACGGGGCCGGACCCGAAAGAAGGUGAACUAUGCCUGUAUAGGGUGAAGCCAGAGGAAACUCUGGUGGAGGCUCGCAGCGGUUCUGACGUGCAAAUCGAUCGUCAAAUAUGGGCAUGGGGGCGAAAGACUAAUCGAACCUUCUAGUAGCUGGUUUCCGCCGAAGUU